AAAAAAAAAAAAAAAAACACAGCGUUUAUGGCUGGGCUCUCUAAGGUGCGCCUGACGCCUUGGUGCACUUGGCCUCACCUGGGUGCACCUCCUGUAGUUUGCUCGCCUUUGGGUGUCUCAGGCGAUGGGUCGCGCGCCUUGCGCCUUAGGCGCCCCUCUCUGCAAGGUCUUAAGCAACUCACUGUCAUCCAGCCUGUCCUCUCUGACUAAUGCCCUGACAAUUUCAGAAAGCGGUUUGGUGUUGCUAUGUAAUGAUGGUUGACUUUCAAAUAGUCUUGUUACUGCUUCAGGAUCAUUUCGGUGAUAAAGUUCUUUAAGAUGUGGAACUUCACUAGCUUCAUCUGUACCACGCACACUGCGACCUAAGUUACCAGCAUAGCUCGACUGAAACCUUCUUUCAGCAUUUAAAAGCCCACUCCCUGCAUCGCAUCCAAGCUUGCUAGCAGGAAAGUAAGUUCUGACAAACAAACUUUUGUACUGUCCUAACUCUGAUUGAUGCCUUGAAGCCUGCGUGAUUAGGCGCCUCCAAGCCAUGCCGCGACUAGGAACCAAAGAGGUCUGAUCUUCUUUGCUUCGUUAGCUCCUUCUCUCUCUGAGUGUCCGAAAAUAUGUUGGCGAUGCGAUGUAAAGUGAAAGUAUUUCGGGUGUGCUUGGAUAGCGAGAAAAAGAAGGAAAAUGAGAAGGUCUCGAGUGUAAA
RNAcentral lists this unclassified non-coding RNA (697 nucleotides) under Hevea brasiliensis (rubber tree). The record is from RNAcentral. Lineage: Eukaryota; Viridiplantae; Streptophyta; Magnoliopsida; Malpighiales; Euphorbiaceae.